GCAGCAGACAUUUUGUUUUCAAGGAUGUGCAUCUGCUAAUUUUUCCAUCAUUUCCUCUUUUCUGUUUCCAGUUAGACUUUUGGUUACAUCAACAUGAAAAUUAUUACACAUUUUCAUUUUCAUUUUGAAAUAAAUGCCAAAUUAGGGUUUUGACCCUGAAUUUGCAGUUUAUAAUCAAACAUUACAAAAGCCAUAGUGCAAGUCCAUAGGCACAUAUUUCUGUUUUCUUUGUCAUUUUAAUCUUAAAUGUAUUGUAAAACCUAUUCAAUCAGCCCUCUUCUUGCAAAAAUUGGGUUGCUAUAUAUAUUGUUGGUAGUCAGGUUGGGUAAUUGUUUUAUGCCUUUCAUUUGCUUGUAUCCCUCUUGAUGAUUUUUUAGUUACAAAGGGUAAAUAGUUCUACAACUUGGCAUUUAUCAUACUUACACUAAACUGGUCCAAUCUUAACCAAGUUAUCAUAAGGGUUUCAUAGGCGGAUCCUGGGGGGACCGUGCCCCCCUUUCGUGGCAAAAAAAUUGGUUGCUUAUAUAGGGAAUCACUGAAGCAUGACUGGAGCGGGCCCCCCUUAGGUCAGUCAGCAGGCCCCCCCUUAAGAAAAGUUCUGGAUCCGCCACUGGCUUUGUAUUUCAUCAUUUUAUUUUAUAUAAAAGUAUGUGAACCAAUAAUCUGUAUCUAUACUGAUUUGUUAUAAAUCUGGGGUAAAAUAUGAUGUUGAUACAUUGUCUUUUCAUAUUAACCAAAUGUUGAUGAAGUAAUGCUCUGCUGGAUUUUCAUGAUUGUUUUUUUUUUUAAUCAAAUAGCGAGAUUUAAACAGCGGUUUUCUACUGUCCCCUUAAUAAGACACCUGUAGUAAAAACAAAAAAAUACCCUUAAGGGGAGUCGCGGGUCUAAAUCAUUUAUAUAGGAUUUCUCUAUAUUUUUCUAUAAAUGAACUUUAUCAUAUAGUUAAUAGAAAAAUAAAAUAAAAAAGUGGGGUCAAUGUCAUUUGCGCUCACAAUCUGCCUUCGAAAGAAGCAUACAUUUUUGUAUAGGUGGUUUUUUCUGUUGAAGUAAUAGGAGAAAUAAAGGUAAUAUCGAAAUAAAAUAAAAAAAUUUAUUACAGAAAUCGCUAAAAUUUUACAAAAAUUUAGUUUAAGUACAGCUUAUAUGAAAAUUAUAUUAAAAAAGAUAGGUCACCGAUGAGUUGAAAAAGAUAUUUCAAUUUUAAAGCCAAAAAAUUGCAUUUUUCCACCAAAGGGAGAUAAUUUGGAACUUUUUCAAUGAUGUAUACAUUUUGAAAGUCAUCUGGGGCCAACACGAAUUGAUUGUUUUGAAUGAUUUGUGUACCAUAUGAUAAAGUAACAACUACAAAAGGAAAUAAAUAAAAUUUGUAAUGAAAAACAAAUGUUUGAUUUUUUUCUGAAAUUUUUAUACCCUCGAGCCUCCUUAAAACAAGGAAUCAUUUGAACCUGGAAUAAUGUUUAAUUCUAGAAAAAUUGAUGAGAAAUUUAUGACGAAAACUAACCCAACUAAAUAGGGUUAACCAUGCAUGCAUGGCUGAGGUUAAUUUUACUUCCACUAUCAUAUCAGUAUGAACUACAUGUAACUAACCCCCUUUAGCCAUGAGCGCAUUCAAAAUUAUUCCAGAUUCAAAUAAUUCCUUGUUUUAAAAUCAUUGUCUAGCUACAAUGUAGAUAUAGCAUUGGUGUCCGUGG
Molecule: long non-coding RNA, 1691 nt
Filed under: Mytilus galloprovincialis (Mediterranean mussel)
Lineage: Eukaryota; Metazoa; Mollusca; Bivalvia; Mytilida; Mytilidae
Source: RNAcentral